UCCCUGGUGGUAUAGUGGCUAAGACUCUGCACUCCCAAUGCAGGGGGCCCAAGUUCAAUCCCUGGUCUGGGAA
Molecule: transfer RNA, 73 nt
Filed under: Capra hircus (goat)
Lineage: Eukaryota; Metazoa; Chordata; Mammalia; Artiodactyla; Bovidae
Also listed under: 1 other name
Rfam family: tRNA
About the family: Transfer RNA (tRNA) molecules are approximately 80 nucleotides in length. Their secondary structure includes four short double-helical elements and three loops (D, anti-codon, and T loops). Further hydrogen bonds mediate the characteristic L-shaped molecular structure. tRNAs have two regions of fundamental functional importance: the anti-codon, which is responsible for specific mRNA codon recognition, and the 3' end, to which the tRNAs corresponding amino acid is attached (by aminoacyl-tRNA synthetases). tRNAs cope with the degeneracy of the genetic code in two manners: having more than one tRNA (with a specific anti-codon) for a particular amino acid; and 'wobble' base-pairing, i.e. permitting non-standard base-pairing at the 3rd anti-codon position.
Source: Rfam by way of RNAcentral